UACGGGGGGAGCAAGCGUUGUUCGGAUUUACUGGGCGUAAAGGGCGCGUAGGCGGCCACCGCAAGUCAAUUGUGAAAUCUCCGGGCUUAACUCGGAAAGGUCAACUGAUACUGCGGGGCUAGAGUGCAGAAGGGGCAACUGGAAUUCUCGGUGUAGCGGUGAAAUGCGUAGAUAUCGAGAGGAACACCUGCGGCGAAGGCGGGUUGCUGGGCUGACACUGACGCUGAGGCGCGAAAGCUAGGGGAGCGAACG
Molecule: ribosomal RNA, 252 nt
Filed under: uncultured prokaryote
Description: partial 16S ribosomal RNA
Rfam family: Bacterial small subunit ribosomal RNA
Source: RNAcentral